RNAcentral lists this ribosomal RNA (507 nucleotides) under uncultured bacterium. RNAcentral's name for it is "bacterial SSU rRNA". It matches the Rfam family "Bacterial small subunit ribosomal RNA", at positions 19 to 518 of the family's 1533-position model. The record is from RNAcentral.
AUGGCUCAGGAUGAACGCUAGCGGCAGGCUUAACACAUGCAAGUCGAGGGGCAGCGGGAUGUAGCAAUACAUUGCCGGCGACCGGCGGAUGGGUGCGUAACGCGUAUGCAACCUACCUUAUACAGGGGAAUAACCUUUCGAAAGGGAGACUAACACCCCAUGGUAUUGAUUUAAGGCAUCUUAGAUUAAUUAAAUAUUUAUAGGUAUAAGAUGGGCAUGCGUAUGAUUAGCUAGUUGGUAAGGUAACGGCUUACCAAGGCGACGAUCAUUAGGGGUUCUGAGAGGAAGGUCCCCCACACUGGUACUGAGACACGGACCAGACUCCUACGGGAGGCAGCAGUGAGGAAUAUUGGUCAAUGGGCGCAAGCCUGAACCAGCCAUGCCGCGUGCAAGGAAGACGGCCUUAUGGGUUGUAAACUGCUUUUACAUAAGACUAACCGUAUAUUUGCGAAUAUACCUGAAUGUAUUAUGAGAAUAAGGAUCGGCUAACUCCGUGCCAGCCGCCGC